Molecule: long non-coding RNA, 3500 nt
Filed under: Setaria viridis
Lineage: Eukaryota; Viridiplantae; Streptophyta; Magnoliopsida; Poales; Poaceae
Description: long non-coding RNA (SVIR_LNC002901)
Source: RNAcentral
GUGAGGACAGAGACCAGCCCAGAGGAUGUUGGUGGCAUGCACGCAGCUGUUGGAAUUCUUACAGCAAGAGGUGGGAUGACCUCUCAUGCUGCUGUGGUAGCACGUGGUUGGGGAAAAUGUUGUGUCUCAGGAUGCUCAAGCGUUCUCGUAAAUGAUGCUGAGAAGGUGAAUAGAAUUCUUGUUUGCACAUCUUCUUCUUUGUAGAAGGUGACAUGCCAUGUUAAAGUUUGUAACAGGAUUAUGACAUUCUUUGUAGAUGUGCUCCGUCCGCCAUUUUUAAGUUCUUAUUAACGAGAUUUUGAGGAUGUAGAUGUUUCCUUACUUUGCUAUGUCUACAUUUACAGUCUGUAGUGAUUGGAGACAAGGUGAUGCAUGAAGGUGAGUGGCUAUCACUGAAUGGAUCUACUGGUGAAGUCAUCGUGGGGAAGCAGCCACUUUCCCCACCAGUCCUCAGUGGUGAUCUGGGAACCUUCAUGUCCUGGGUAGAUGAAGUUAGGCAACUGAAGGUAAAUUCCUAGAAAUAACAAAUAUGUAAUAUUAGUUAAAACAUGGAUACAAACUGUUGGAAGUAGAAACCAACAAAAAGGGCAUCAGAUUAUUUAUUCAGACAGGCCAAAGCUAGUCAACCCCACUACACAUUUUUCAACAGAAAUGCUUAUUCGUACAUAUGAUCCACCUUCCAGGUUUUGGCUAAUGCGGAUACCCCUGAGGAUGCACUGACAGCAAGAAACAAUGGGGCAGAAGGAAUUGGACUAUGCCGGACGGAGCACAUGGUAUGUAUUUUAGUUACUGUCCAAUAUCUUUUGGGUGGGAUCUUGGAAAACUUACUCUUUCUUGAAUUCCUUCGUCGAACAGUUGGGUAAACUUUAAGGACCUCCCGUUCUAGUCUCAUGUUCUCCUUUUCUGCACUUUGGCAGUUCUUUGCUUCGGAUGAGAGGAUUAAGGCUGUGAGGCAGAUGAUUAUGGCUCCCACACUUGAACUGAGGCAGAAGGCACUAGAUCGUCUUUUGCCUUAUCAGAGGUCUGACUUUGAAGGCAUUUUCCGUGCUAUGGAUGGUAUGUGAAAAUCACGAUGCAUUCAUUUACAUGCUCUCCAAUUGAACUGGAUGCACUAGUGUUACUGAACAUAACAAGAGUAAGCAACCUUCUUAAAUAGACAACAUUGACUACUAAUGUAAAGUGAAAAGGUAGACAAGUUUUAAACCUUAGGAUGCAAAAUACUUCAAAAAUAAGAACGAAAUUGGGCCAGUAACAUAUUGCAUCAAUUAUUUAACUUGGUAACAUAAAGUUCUGCUAUGAUUUAUCCAUUAGUUUUUUUUAAUCUUUUAUAGCGAGUGGUAUAUGUACAUGUUUCAUGGAAACAGAUAUAGAAUUAAACUACUAGAAUAAAUUUUAACAUGUAUUGUAGUUAGUUCCACAGUAUGUAUUUUAAAGUGCGGAAUGGAUUUGAACAUUAUUUUUUUUGCAUUUCAGGGCUUUCAGUGACUAUUCGGCUUCUGGACCCCCCACUUCAUGAGUUUCUUCCUGACGGGAAUGUUGAAGACAUUGUGCGUGAAUUAUGUUCUGAAACUGGAGCCAAUCAGGAGGAAGCCCUUGCAAGAAUUGAAAGUCUUUCAGAAGUAAAUCCAAUGCUUGGUUUCCGUGGGUGCAGGUUGGUUUUUGUGCUCCGUUUAAAUCAGUCACCCCCCCUCCUUGAUCCAUUUGGUUCCCUUGUUAGUGAAAUAUUAAAAAGAAUAAACUCUGUAUAUUUACCUCGACUAAUAUUGGAACUGCUAAAAUUCCAGGCUCGGUAUAUCAUAUCCUGAGCUAACAGAAAUGCAAGCCCGUGCCAUCUUUGAAGCUGCUAUAGCGAUGACCAACCAGGGUGUUCAAGUUUUCCCAGAGAUAAUGGUUCCUCUUGUUGGGACACCUCAGGCAUGCAUCUUUAUUUCCUUAUUUGUGCAUAUGGUAUCUCUGCAGUUCAUGGUGUUCAAAAUGACAAAAUCAAAAUUGAAUAAACAACCAAGUUCUGUACACAUGUAAUUUACGAUUUUAUGCAAACAUCAAGUUGACCUACACCCAAUUUCCCACCAAAUUCAUUUCUUGAAAUUUUCUCUCUCGAAUUCUAAGUUUAUUGCUUUCACUUGAUUUUUCCUUCAGACAUCUGACAUUUGACUUUUGCAGGAACUGGGGAAUCAAGUGGCCCUUAUCCGUGAAACUGCUAACAAAGUUUUCGCUGCUCUGGGUAAAACCAUUGACUACAAAAUUGGAACUAUGAUUGAAAUUCCGAGGGCAGCUCUAGUAGCUGAUGAGGUAGGAAGCAUCUAACUCCCUUCAGAAUAAUCUUAAAUAUUGCUGUUUAGGUUUAGCUUUUAGAUCAUAUUUUUCAUGAAUGGUUUAGUAAUAGAACCCCGGAUUUUUACUCUAAAACAUGUGAAUAGUAACUGAUGGUAUGAAUUUAUUAAGUGCAAAUAAUAAGUUUAUCCUCUAAUUUAAAAAAAAAACUGACAUUCUUGUUUUGGUUUCACAACCUGACAGAUAGCAGAGCAGGCUGAAUUCUUCUCUUUUGGAACGAACGACCUCACACAGAUGACAUUUGGCUACAGCAGGGAUGAUGUGGGGAAGUUUCUUCCCAUUUAUCUGUCUCAGGGUAUCCUCCAACAUGAUCCCUUUGAGGUAAAAUUUUAGCAGCUCUCACCCUUCAGUUUUAGAUGAUAUACCUGCAUUUUCAUCAUCCACUCUUGUUUUUCAAGGAAUAUUUCCAUCAUCCACAGAUGCGAGCAUCUCAUGUCCUCUAGGCAUUUUUCAUGUCCUUGACUUUUGGUUACGUGCAUGCUCUGGUAAAAUUCAACCUAGUAACUUGCCCAUUGAAUGUUGAUAAACAUAUCAGGUGCUGGAUCAGAGGGGAGUGGGCGAGCUGGUUAAGUUUGCUACAGAGAGGGGUCGCAAAGCUAGGCCUAACUUGAAGGUUAGUUUUUGGGACUUGUGGACAUUGGCUCUUUUCCUUAGAAAUCAUGGUUUCAUUGUUUGGUGCUGUCUGCAAACAGGUGGGCAUCUGUGGAGAACACGGUGGGGAGCCUUCGUCAGUUGCAUUCUUUGCAAAGUCGGGGCUGGAUUAUGUUUCUUGCUCGCCUUUCAGGUUGGUCAAGUGAUAAACUCAAGAUACAACUCCCAGAUUCAUAACUGUAGCAAAACCUUAACUACUUUUUAUGAAAUAUCUUGUGCAGGGUUCCCAUCGCCAGGCUAGCUGCAGCUCAGGUGCUCGUCUGAGGGCACCGCCUCAUCGGCAACCGGAUCACCUGCUGUUGGUGCGUCUGGUGAAGAAUACUAAUACAAAGCCAUGGAACGGUGGAACUCUGCUGCCUGGCAAAGGCCGUUGUAUCUUGUAUGAAGUCUCCGUGCGCGUGCGCAUGUAAGACUUAAUGUGUGGUUUUCUGCAUUUUCCCUUGAACUACCAUGGUAAUGUAGUACCAAACAGAGAUGAUGACGAAGAACAAUCGAAUAAAUUAAUUGGCGAUUAC